CCUAGUAGCGGCGAGCGAAGCGGGAAGAGCUCAAAUUUGUAAUCUGGCACUUUCAGUGUCCGAGUUGUAAUCUCGAGAAGUGUUUUCCGCGCUGGACCGCAUACAAGUCUGUUGGAAUACAGCGUCAUAGUGGUGAGAACCCCGUACAUGAUGCGGAUGCCCAGUGCUUUGUGAUACACUUUCGAAGAGUCGAGUUGUUUGGGAAUGCAGCUCAAAUUGGGUGGUAAAUUCCAUCUAAAGCUAAAUAUUGGCGAGAGACCGAUAGCGAACAAGUACCGUGAGGGAAAGAUGAAAAGCACUUUGGAAAGAGAGUUAACAGUACGUGAAAUUGUUGGAAGGGAAACGCUUGAAGUCAGACUUGCGUAUUGGAGUUCAGCCGCAAGGUGUAUUCUUCAGUUUGCAGGCCAGCAUCAGUUUUCGGGGGUGCAAAAGGGUGAGAGAAAGGUAGCAACUCCGGUUGUGUUAUAGUCUCUCACUGGAUGCAUCUUUGG
RNAcentral lists this ribosomal RNA (491 nucleotides) under Colacogloea sp. 6Apo. Its description in RNAcentral is "eukaryotic LSU rRNA". It matches the Rfam family "Eukaryotic large subunit ribosomal RNA", at positions 79 to 582 of the family's 3401-position model. Lineage: Eukaryota; Fungi; Basidiomycota; Microbotryomycetes; Colacogloeaceae. The record is from RNAcentral.